UCUAAAGUAAUUAAUUAAAGUCUAUUAGAAAAAAUUAUGUUAGCUUUUUGCGCAUGCGCGUUAUGUUCCGUUGCCUCGGCGCCAAAGCCCAAAGGAAGCUUUACAGAAUCCAGUCAGAUAGAAGCAAGACGCCAGAGCCGGAUUUCUGUACAUCCAUUUGCACAGUACUGUACAAGUUUCCUUUGCUGAGUUCCUUGGUCAGGGGUUAAACACAUUUUCUGUCCAGUACUGCAGUUGGAAUUUUCCACACAACAUUUUUAUGGUGGCGCAGUGGGAAGCCCUCUCACCUCACAGCA
Non-coding RNA from Danio rerio (zebrafish), 296 nucleotides. The record is from RefSeq and is a predicted model, not a curated record. NCBI's taxonomy places the organism in Eukaryota, Metazoa, Chordata, Actinopteri, Cypriniformes, Danionidae.